ACAGAUCGUUCAGAGUUUGAUCCUGGCUCAGGACGAACGCUGGCGGCGUGCCUAACACAUGCAAGUCGAGCGAGGGGAAAGGCUUCGGCCUGGAACCUAGCGGCGGACGGGUGAGUAACGCGUGAGGAACCUGUCCCAAACAGGGGGAUACCAGAUGGAAACAUCUGCUAAUACCGCAUAAGACCACAGAGCCACAUGGUUCAGGGGUCAAAGGAGCAAUCCGGUUUGGGGUGGCCUCGCGUCCGAUUAGCUAGUUGGUGAGGUAAUGGCCCACCAAGGCGACGAUCGGUAGCCGACCUGAGAGGGUGAUCGGCCACAUUGGAACUGAGACACGGUCCAA
This 340-nucleotide ribosomal RNA is filed under the name uncultured bacterium. RNAcentral describes it as "bacterial SSU rRNA". It matches the Rfam family "Bacterial small subunit ribosomal RNA", at positions 1 to 334 of the family's 1533-position model. The record is from RNAcentral.